Molecule: ribosomal RNA, 350 nt
Filed under: uncultured bacterium
Lineage: Bacteria
Description: bacterial SSU rRNA
Rfam family: Bacterial small subunit ribosomal RNA
Source: RNAcentral
AGAGUUUGAUCAUGGCUCAGGACGAACGCUGGCGGCGCGCCUAACACAUGCAAGUCGAACGAGAGAGAAGGAGCUUGCUUCUUCGAUCGAGUGGCGAACGGGUGAGUAACGCGUGAGGAACCUGCCUCAAAGAGGGGGACAACAGUUGGAAACGACUGCUAAUACCGCAUAAGCCCACGGGUCGGCAUCGAUCUGAGGGAAAAGGAGCAAUCCGCUUUGAGAUGGCCUCGCGUCCGAUUAGCUAGUUGGUGAGGUAACGGCCCACCAAGGCGACGAUCGGUAGCCGGACUGAGAGGUUGAACGGCCACAUUGGGACUGAGACACGGCCCAGACUCCUACGGGAGGCAACA